Molecule: non-coding RNA, 284 nt
Filed under: Streptomyces afghaniensis 772
Lineage: Bacteria; Bacillati; Actinomycetota; Actinomycetes; Kitasatosporales; Streptomycetaceae
Description: Bacterial large subunit ribosomal RNA
Rfam family: Bacterial large subunit ribosomal RNA
Source: Rfam by way of RNAcentral
GGCUCAAGCGUACCGCCGAAGUCGUGUCAUUGCGAUAUAUACCCCCAACGGGGAUCGUGAUGGGUAGGGGAGCGUCGUGUGCCGGGUGAAGCAGCACCGGAAGGUAGUUGUGGACGGUUCACGAGUGAGAAUGCAGGCAUGAGUAGCGAUUCACACGUGAGAAACGUGUGCGCCGAUUGACUAAGGGUUCCUGGGUCAAGCUGAUCUGCCCAGGGUAAGUCGGGACCUAAGGCGAGGCCGACAGGCGUAGUCGAUGGAUAACCGGUUGAUAGUUCCGGUACCCG